CACAAGCGGUGGAUGAUGUGGUUUAAUUCGAUGCAACGCGAAAAACCUUACCCACCUUUGACAUGGCAGGAAUCCUAAAGAGAUUUGGGAGUGCUCGAAAGAGAACCUGCACACAGGUGCUGCAUGGCUGUCGUCAGCUCGUGUCGUGAGAUGUUGGGUUAAGUCCCGCAACGAGCGCAACCCUUGCCAUUAGUUGCUACGAAAGGGCACUCUAAUGGGACUGCCGGUGACAAACCGGAGGAAGGUGGGGAUGACGUCAAGUCCUCAUGGCCCUUAUAGGUGGGGCUACACACGUCAUACAAUGGCCGGUACAGAGGGUAGCCAACCCGCGAGGGGGAGCCAAUCCCACAAAGCCGGUCGUAGUCCGGAUCGCAGUCUGCAACUCGACUGCGUGAAGUCGGAAUCGCUAGUAAUCGCGGAUCAGCAUGUCGCGGUGAAUACGUUCCCGGGUCUU
Molecule: ribosomal RNA, 454 nt
Filed under: uncultured Allobrachymonas sp.
Lineage: Bacteria; Pseudomonadati; Pseudomonadota; Betaproteobacteria; Burkholderiales; Comamonadaceae
Description: bacterial SSU rRNA
Rfam family: Bacterial small subunit ribosomal RNA
Source: RNAcentral